Ceratotherium simum simum (southern white rhinoceros) is the source of this 1397-nucleotide non-coding RNA. Lineage: Eukaryota; Metazoa; Chordata; Mammalia; Perissodactyla; Rhinocerotidae. The record is from RefSeq and is a predicted model, not a curated record.
GCAAGCCCCGUGGCAAUUUGGGAGAUGAGUGUUUCCAAAUUGAACCCGCUUACUGGGAGGUGUAACUCAGCUCAGAGCGAAGUGUGCGGCCCCUUCUCCAAAGAGAAGAGAGCCUUUUUAGAAAGGGGGAGGGGACGGUAGGAAGGAAGGAUAGAAUGAAUAAAUAAAAGAAGGAAUAUUAAAGAGUGGAGAGGAUGUUAAAGAGGGAAAGGGGUUUUCUCUUUCCUUUCUCUUCCUGGUGACUUGGGCCCCCAGAAUCUCGCUGGAGAGUCACGCAGAGUGCAGAGGCGUGUGCCCAAUUGCCAGUAACUGCUUCAAAAACCCAUGCUCAUCUCUUAGCUCCACUCUUAGGCACAGCCAAAACUGAUCAGAAAAAUGGGGAAAGUGGGACACGGGUUUCGAAGGAGGGAAAUGAAAGAAGGGACCAUCCACAUCCUCCCUCUUCAGCUUCUCCCCUACAUUCUUCGGGCGAAUCGGAGAGGCGGGCGCUGCGCUGGGGAAAGUUUGUCCCACCCGCAUUUCGCAGCUGGCUGCGAGGAGAGGAGGAGGAGCGGGAAGGUAGAGCUCGGAGCCUGCCGCAGCAAGGAUAACUGAGCCAGCGCCGCGCUUACCUCGCAGUCCUCGUACUUGAUAUUAUCCGUCAGUUUCCAAAGCAUUUUCAUGGAUCGGCGUGAACGGAUUUGCCCCCUGUCCGCCUCGCACCCAAGUGGAGCUACUCUCUGGCUCUUUACCAACGGCCUAAUCGCCUCAUUAGCAUAUCAACAAUAGUCCAAUUGCUCGCCAGCACCACAAUCUGCCGCCGGCCGCUCCAACCCAGGUAUAAAGGCCUCUCCGAGCCGCGAACUUGCUUCUAGAGCACACGCCUGCCUGUGAGCCGACGAAAUCUCCCCUGAGCCCCGCCGCGCGCCCCUGCCCCAGCGCCGCCUCCCGCCCCCCCGCCCUUCAUUCCACCCCAUUCCUCUAACUCUCCGUCUUCUCCUCGCGGGAGACGUCCUCCGCAAAAGCCAGGCAUUGCGCAGGGUCCGAGAGGUCGCUCCUAGAGCCCGGCUUCCAGCACCUCUCCCCCACCCCUGCCACCACUAACGGCGCUGUCCUUUCGGCCCUGUCCAAUUUUAUGAGAAAUUAUUAUCCCUUUCGCAAUUAAAUAUAACCACCAAACCAAGACCGGCGAAGUUACUCCAGGAUUUUUGCCCAAAAAGAGAUCGCCUCCCCUCGCGGCAGCCGCCACCUCCGGCCGCAGCGCUUUGGGAGUUUUAUUGGCUUUGCGCUUUCCCCCCAGGUUGGAGAUUUUACCAAACGGCUCCAGUCGCUCGGCUGGGGUUUGCGAUCCUUUAAUUGCCGCGUGUAAAAUAAAAAUUGUACCCUGAAGAGGUUACUUGACAGCUCCAGGGGUUAAA